AUACGUAGGGGGCGAGCGUUGUCCGGAAUUACUGGGCGUAAAGGGCGCGUAGGCGGCUUAAUAAGUCUGAUGUGAAAAUCCUGGGCUUAACCCAGGGCUUGCAUUAGAAACUGUUGAGCUUGAGGACAGGAGAGGAAAGCGGAAUUCCCAGUGUAGCGGUGAAAUGCGUAGAUAUUGGGAAGAACACCAGUGGCGAAGGCGGCUUUCUGGACUGCACCUGACGCUGAGGCGCGAAAGCCAGGGGAGCGAACGGGAGUAGAUACCCCGGUAGUCCUGGCCGUAAACAAUGGAUACUAGGUGUGGGAGGUAUCGACCCCUUCCGUGCCGCAGUUAACACAUUAAGUAUCCCGCCUGGGGAGUACGGCCGCAAGGCUGAA
This 377-nucleotide ribosomal RNA is filed under the name uncultured bacterium. Its description in RNAcentral is "bacterial SSU rRNA". It matches the Rfam family "Bacterial small subunit ribosomal RNA", at positions 523 to 898 of the family's 1533-position model. The record is from RNAcentral.